AAUCCAAGCAUCUGGGCUCAACAACCUUAGGUCCUUAACACCUCUCUCUCUCUCCUCUGUCUUCAAUUUCUCUCUCUAUAAGUUGAAGAAAUAUAAGAUACCGUAUCCUUCUGAUUCCACUACGUAUGAUUUAAGCAUUGCAAGCCAGAGGCUUCCCAUCAUAAUGCAUAAGACCCAGAAGCUUAAAGUCCUUCAUAACAUGUAAGGCUGUCCUUGACACAUUACUAUAUCAAAGGACAAAACUGUACUUAAAUUUCAUGCAAAAGGCAUAAAUGUUCCUAUGUUGUGGUCAAA
Long non-coding RNA from Cornus florida, 294 nucleotides. RefSeq lists it as uncharacterized. NCBI's taxonomy places the organism in Eukaryota, Viridiplantae, Streptophyta, Magnoliopsida, Cornales, Cornaceae. The record is from RefSeq and is a predicted model, not a curated record. The transcript is spliced from 2 exons.